RNAcentral lists this ribosomal RNA (253 nucleotides) under uncultured bacterium. RNAcentral's name for it is "partial 16S ribosomal RNA". It matches the Rfam family "Bacterial small subunit ribosomal RNA", at positions 524 to 776 of the family's 1533-position model. The record is from RNAcentral.
UACAGAGGGUGCGAGCGUUAAUCGGAAUUACUGGGCGUAAAGGGCGCGUAGGUGGUUAUGUAAGUGAGAUGUGAAAUCCCUGGGCUUAACCUAGGAACUGCAUCUUAUACUGCGUAGCUGGAGUGCGGUAGAGGGUAGUGGAAUUUCCGGUGUAGCGGUGAAAUGCGUAGAUAUCGGAAGGAACACCAGUGGCGAAGGCGGCUACCUGGACUGACACUGACACUGAGGCGCGAAAGCGUGGGGAGCAAACAGG